AAAUUGAAGAGUUUGAUCAUGGCUCAGAUUGAACGCUGGCGGCAGGCCUAACACAUGCAAGUCGAGCGGUAGCACAGAGAGCUUGCUCUCGGGUGACGAGCGGCGGACGGGUGAGUAAUGUCUGGGAAACUGCCUGAUGGAGGGGGAUAACUACUGGAAACGGUAGCUAAUACCGCAUAACGUCGCAAGACCAAAGUGGGGGACCUUCGGGCCUCAUGCCAUCAGAUGUGCCCAGAUGGGAUUAGCUAGUAGGUGGGGUAACGGCUCACCUAGGCGACGAUCCCUAGCUGGUCUGAGAGGAUGACCAGCCACACUGGAACUGAGACACGGUCCAGACUCCUACGGGAGGCAGCAGUGGGGAAUAUUGCACAAUGGGCGCAAGCCUGAUGCAGCCAUGCCGCGUGUGUGAAGAAGGCCUUCGGGUUGUAAAGCACUUUCAGCGGGGAGGAAGGCGGUGAGGUUAAUAACCUCACCGAUUGACGUUACCCGCAGAAGAAGCACCGGCUAACUCCGUGCCAGCAGCCGCGGUAAUACGGAGGGUGCAAGCGUUAAUCGGAAUUACUGGGCGUAAAGCGCACGCAGGCGGUCUGUCAAGUCGGAUGUGAAAUCCCCGGGCUUAACCUGGGAACUGCAUUCGAAACUGGCAGGCUAGAGUCUUGUAGAGGGGGGUAGAAUUCCAGGUGUAGCGGUGAAAUGCGUAGAGAUCUGGAGGAAUACCGGUGGCGAAGGCGGCCCCCUGGACAAAGACUGACGCUCAGGUGCGAAAGCGUGGGGAGCAAACAGGAUUAGAUACCCUGGUAGUCCACGCCGUAAACGAUGUCGAUUUGGAGGUUGUGCCCUUGAGGCGUGGCUUCCGGAGCUAACGCGUUAAAUCGACCGCCUGGGGAGUACGGCCGCAAGGUUAAAACUCAAAUGAAUUGACGGGGGCCCGCACAAGCGGUGGAGCAUGUGGUUUAAUUCGAUGCAACGCGAAGAACCUUACCUGGUCUUGACAUCCACAGAACUUUCCAGAGAUGGAUUGGUGCCUUCGGGAACUGUGAGACAGGUGCUGCAUGGCUGUCGUCAGCUCGUGUUGUGAAAUGUUGGGUUAAGUCCCGCAACGAGCGCAACCCUUAUCCUUUGUUGCCAGCGGUCCGGCCGGGAACUCAAAGGAGACUGCCAGUGAUAAACUGGAGGAAGGUGGGGAUGACGUCAAGUCAUCAUGGCCCUUACGACCAGGGCUACACACGUGCUACAAUGGCAUAUACAAAGAGAAGCGACCUCGCGAGAGCAAGCGGACCUCAUAAAGUAUGUCGUAGUCCGGAUUGGAGUCUGCAACUCGACUCCAUGAAGUCGGAAUCGCUAGUAAUCGUAGAUCAGAAUGCUACGGUGAAUACGUUCCCGGGCCUUGUACACACCGCCCGUCACACCAUGGGAGUGGGUUGCAAAAGAAGUAGGUAGCUUAACCUUCGGGAGGGCGCUUACCACUUUGUGAUUCAUGACUGGGGUGAAGUCGUAACAAGGUAACCGUAGGGGAACCUGCGGUUGGAUCACCUCCUUA
RNAcentral lists this ribosomal RNA (1540 nucleotides) under Klebsiella pneumoniae. RNAcentral describes it as "bacterial SSU rRNA". It matches the Rfam family "Bacterial small subunit ribosomal RNA". The record is from RNAcentral. Lineage: Bacteria; Pseudomonadati; Pseudomonadota; Gammaproteobacteria; Enterobacterales; Enterobacteriaceae.